AUUGAACGCUGGCGGCAUGCCUUACACAUGCAAGUCGAACGGUAACGGGCCUUCGGGUGCCGACGAGUGGCGAACGGGUGAGUAAUGUAUCGGAACGUACCUUUCAGUGGGGGAUAACGUAGCGAAAGUUACGCUAAUACCGCAUAUUCUGUGCGCAGGAAAGCAGGGGAUCGCAAGACCUUGCGCUGAUUGAGCGGCCGAUAUCAGAUUAGCUAGUUGGUGAGGUAAAGGCUCACCAAGGCGACGAUCUGUAGCGGGUCUGAGAGGAUGAUCCGCCACACUGGAACUGAGACACGGUCCAGACUCCUACGGGAGGCAGCAGGUGGGGAAUUUUGGACAAGUGGGGGCAACCCUGAUCCAGCCAUGCCGCGUGCGGGACGAAGGCC
This 386-nucleotide ribosomal RNA is filed under the name uncultured bacterium. RNAcentral describes it as "bacterial SSU rRNA". It matches the Rfam family "Bacterial small subunit ribosomal RNA", at positions 30 to 416 of the family's 1533-position model. The record is from RNAcentral.